This 507-nucleotide ribosomal RNA is filed under the name uncultured bacterium. RNAcentral describes it as "bacterial SSU rRNA". It matches the Rfam family "Bacterial small subunit ribosomal RNA", at positions 30 to 518 of the family's 1533-position model. The record is from RNAcentral.
CGAACGCUGGCGGCGUGCUUAACACAUGCAAGUCGAACGCGAAGGGACUUCGGUCCUGAGUAAGUGGCGCACGGGUGAGUAACGCGUAGAUAACCUGUCUUCAUGUCUGGAAUAAUACGCCGAAAGGGGUACUAAUACCGGAUAUUCUUGCUUUUCAUAAGUUAUGCAAGCAAAGGUGGCCUCUGCAUAUGCUACUGCAUGAAGAGGGGUCUGCGUACCAUUAGCUAGUAGGUGGGGUAAUGGCCUACCUAGGCGACGAUGGUUAGCGGGUCUGAGAGGAUGAUCCGCCACACUGGCACUGGAACACGGGCCAGACUCCUACGGGAGGCAGCAGUGAGGAAUAUUGCGCAAUGGGGGAAACCCUGACGCAGCGACGCCGCGUGAGUGAAGGAAGGCCUUCGGGUCGUAAAGCUCUGUCAAGAGGAAAGAAGUGUACAAUGGCUAAUACCUGUUGUAUUUGACGGUACCUCUAAAGGAAGCACCGGCUAACUCCGUGCCAGCAGCGGC